AGUGAACGCUGGCGGUAGGCCUAACACAUGCAAGUCGAACGGCAGCACAGUAAGAGCUUGCUCUUACGGGUGGCGAGUGGCGGACGGGUGAGGAAUACAUCGGAAUCUACUUUUUCGUGGGGGAGAACGUAGGGAAACUUACGCUAAUACCGCAUACGACCUACGGGUGAAAGCAGGGGAUCUUCGGACCUUGCGCGAUUGAAUGAGCCGAUGUCGGGUUAGCGAGUUGGCGGGGUAAAGGCCCACCAAGGCGACGAUCCGUAGCUGGUCUGAGAGGAUGAUCAGCCACACUGGAACUGAGACACGGUCCAGACUCCUACGGGAGGCAGCAGUGGGGAAUAUUGGACAAUGGGCGCAAGCCUGAUCCAGCCAUGCCGCGUGGGUGAAGAAGGCCUUCGGGUUGUAAAGCCCUUUUGUUGGGAAAGAAAAGCAGCAGGUUAAUACCCCGCUGUUCUGACGGUACCCAAAGAAUAAGCACCGGCUAACUUCGUG
Molecule: ribosomal RNA, 492 nt
Filed under: uncultured bacterium
Lineage: Bacteria
Description: partial 16S ribosomal RNA
Rfam family: Bacterial small subunit ribosomal RNA
Source: RNAcentral